Molecule: ribosomal RNA, 301 nt
Filed under: uncultured bacterium
Lineage: Bacteria
Description: partial 16S ribosomal RNA
Rfam family: Bacterial small subunit ribosomal RNA
Source: RNAcentral
CAGCCGCCGCGGGAAUACGUAGGGCGCAAGCGUUGUCCGGAAUUAUUGGGCGUAAAGAGCUUGUAGGCGGUCUGUCGCGUCUGGUGUGAAAUCCCGAGGCUCAACCUCGGGCUUGCAUCGGGUACGGGCAGACUAGAGUGCGGUAGGGGAGACUGGAAUUCCUGGUGUAGCGGUGGAAUGCGCAGAUAUCAGGAGGAACACCGAUGGCGAAGGCAGGUCUCUGGGCCGCAACUGACGCUGAGGAGCGAAAGCAUGGGGAGCGAACAGGAUUAGAGACCCCGGUAGUCCCUGUCUCUUAUAC